AACGCCAUGCAGAAACAUUUAUUUACUUCCUUAGCCUACUUGCUUAUUUAUUCAUCCGUUUGCUAUCUUUUUAUUUUUACCUUACCGCGAAGACUUUGUGACGGAUGGACUGAAGCGCGGGUGGCCCUUUAAGAGAAGAAGAGGAGGGGGCUUAGAGCUGGGUUACGGCUCUGUUUUGUGUCCCUGUCAGUGAGCAAGCGAGAAGCCAUCAAGUGAGGAGUGGUCGGCAAUGACGGAGGCUCAGCGAAAGGCGAGGUAGACUGGUAUUCGGUCUGGGAGCUGCUCCUCUGCUGCUGGCCUCCAUUAUACUGUGUGUGAAAUGGUGCAGGAAACCAGGGUCGUCUAAUGAAGCAGCUGUCAAAUACACUGAAGAGAAUGUGGAAGUUGACUUAUAAAACCUUCACACAGAAGCUGGAUCAGUGUGCUCAUGUGGAAUGAAGAACGUUUGAGAGCUCAGGAUUAUUUUUCAAUGUGAUGCUUCUCAGCUUGCAGGAGGGGAAAUCCUGAUUGAGGGUGCAGUAAUGGGGACACUCAGUGAGUUUUGGGAAUGAAGCAGUCGUGCCUUUAGAGUGCAGGAUCUGUAUAAUAUAUCUGAGGUUCUGAUUCACCAGAGCUGGACUUGUGGUCUUUGUCUAAGUUAGUCUGCUUUCAUUGCUGUAUGUUGGUUUCAGGUCCUACGUUCAACUUUAUAUAUUAUGCAGUAAACUCGCUGCAAGCUUACAUACAGCCUAAACAGCUGAGACUCUGCAACAUGUUCAACAUGCAUUUCAUGUGUCUGCUUUUAUUAGUAUUACAUUAAAUGGACUUUAAAGUGUG
Long non-coding RNA from Anguilla rostrata (American eel), 816 nucleotides. RefSeq lists it as uncharacterized. The transcript has 3 exons. Lineage: Eukaryota; Metazoa; Chordata; Actinopteri; Anguilliformes; Anguillidae. The record is from RefSeq and is a predicted model, not a curated record.